CGGGGGAGGCCAGAUCCUGGCUGUGUCCCGGCGCCCUGCCGGGGCCUGCGCUAUUGGAUUCGCGCUCCCGGCCUGCAGCCCCCU
RNAcentral lists this microRNA precursor (84 nucleotides) under Canis lupus familiaris (dog). Its description in RNAcentral is "mir-8799 microRNA precursor family". It matches the Rfam family "mir-8799 microRNA precursor family". Lineage: Eukaryota; Metazoa; Chordata; Mammalia; Carnivora; Canidae. RNAcentral also lists the same sequence under 1 other name. The record is from Rfam by way of RNAcentral.